CUACCUUCCAUGCUUACCAAGGUUCAAUCCCAGUCACUGUGGCUCCUGAUACAAAAACAAACAAGAGAUAAGACAUGGAGGGAGAAGAGGUGGAUAAAUUCAUGUACUUAAUCACAGGGAUUAAGAAAGACAUCUUGGGAAUGUAAUAGUUAGUCCCACACCUUCAACUAAAGGCCAAAGACUAUUAUUCCAUGGUAUUAGCAAGAAGAUUAUGAAAAUACAGAACAGAGGUUGCUUAAGACCAUAAUAUGAUGGACAAAGGUUUUUGACAACAAUGAAAACUGAAAGAUUUAUAGCUAAUGCUUUAGGUACUGGAUGCAGAGCCCCACCCUCGUUACCUGCAGAGAGAGAGCUCUGGCUGCAGGUGAUGCUCCCCAUGCCCUGCACCCAUCCCCGGCUGGAGCUGGCAGCACUGGCAGCUCCUCCCAAGGGCACUGCCAAAGUGCAAGGAUGUGCCUUGGAGACCGGGGGGAAGCCUGAAGGGCUGAGAACUGGCACACGGUUUCUGUCAUUGGAAUGUAUGAUGAAAAAAAAACAAAAAUACAGUGAAGCACUUCACUGAAACUCAGGACUUCUUCCACCCUCAAGAAUGGUUUUAAGGAAAAUUUCUGUUUUGGUUUAGUUAAAAUAGUUUUAGCUAUUUAAAUGGAACAGUCUUUGAAGGUCUUAAUCUCAUUUAUAAUAAUUUAAGACUAUUUAGACUGAAAAACCUUUGCAUAUCAUAAGAAGCCAUGCUGAUUCAUUCUGUAAAUGUCAUAGGCAGUACCAGAUAAACACUUUAUUUAUAAAAUAAGCUGUAGAAGAUGUUUUCAUGUAAUAGUGUCUUUAGUAGAUGGAGUUAUAUGAGAAAUUACAUGAUAAUUUCCAAUUCCAGUCCAGUCCUUCUUAGCACCUCCAUUUCAGCUUUAAGUGUGGGUUGUGUUUGGGUUUUCCCCCAACCCUUGCAUUUCUACUUUAUUGUUUACCUCCUAGGAGUCAG
This 979-nucleotide long non-coding RNA is filed under the name Junco hyemalis (dark-eyed junco). RNAcentral's name for it is "lncRNA (ENSJHYG00000004008.1)". The record is from RNAcentral. Lineage: Eukaryota; Metazoa; Chordata; Aves; Passeriformes; Passerellidae.